AUGGCCAGAGCAUGGAGGGAGAAUUAUCAGGGUAUAUCUCAACUUUCAAGGUACAUAUUUGUGGCACACUUUCAGUCCUUGCAAUCUGCUAUGUUCGUGUUCACUAGGCAGCCCUGGAGUAUGGGAUCUGAUAAUUUUUUGAUUGAGUUCAAGGAUCCUCAAGAUCACAGUAAGGAUAUUCAGGAUUAUAAGUUUGACACCGUUUUCAUUACUGUUCGUAUUUAUGGUGUCCCUGCUUGUUUCCGUUCUCAAGAACUGCUACUAAAGAUUCUGAACACUUUGGGCCAACUUUCAGAAUUUCAUCCUUUUGUUCAAGCCAUGCUUUCAGCAAAACCUGAUUACAUGUGGGGUACUAUUAAGAUGUCUGUCGCCAAUCCUGUUAGAGAUAAGAUAUAG
RNAcentral lists this ribosomal RNA (396 nucleotides) under Triticum aestivum (bread wheat). RNAcentral describes it as "partial small subunit ribosomal RNA". The record is from RNAcentral. Lineage: Eukaryota; Viridiplantae; Streptophyta; Magnoliopsida; Poales; Poaceae.